AACGUUUUUAGUCUGACUCCAAAAUUCAUUCAACUGGAGUCGGAUUCCAAAAUUCAUUGCAAAGGCUUUCUCCUGCCUCUUGCUGUGUACUCGUUGUCUGCGCUGGACAACUUGGAGACUUUGAUCUACAGCCCAGAAAACUUCAGCCAUGUGUUGCCAGAGGAAUUAGUCAAGUUCUAUAAAACAUGUUCCAAGAAGAAAAACUGGCUAAUUCUAAGGAAGAGAAAGCCAUAGCUUCUUGGUUGUCUGCUUCUGAAAUAGGUCAGUCCUUCCUUUAUCACAGUUGUUUAUCAUAUAAGAAACAAUGAUCCUUUCAAACGUAAUCUUGUUCUUGUGCACAGAGAAAUCUGGGUAAGAGAAGAGGGGCCAAGAACAGUCUGGAAGAACAUCCCCAGAACCAGGGGCUGGAAGGAAUGAAGGACAAAUACACACAGGCAGAGGCAGAACACAGAUUCACAGAUUGUUUGUGCUGAGAUAAGAGCUACAGAUGCCCUCACUCCAAGGAAACCGAGGCCCCCAGACAUAAAGUGACGUUUUGCAAUCAACCAGCAUAUGGCAGUUCUUCGUCUUCCGGAGCAGAGCUCAUCAUGCUAGGGGAAACUGGCCAGAAGUAAAGCGUAACAAAGUUGAGUCCCCAGAGCUUAAAGCACUGACUCUGCCUCCCACAGUGCCAGGAUGAUGUUGAAAGACCUUAUGACAAAAGCACCUCACCCCAGGCCCAGGAACUUGUACACAGAGGGCCCGAACCAGAUGCUGGGCCAGCCUCGUAGCUGCCAGGCUAGGUAGGGUUGAGACUACCUCUGGCUGGAGAGCCACAGGGACAAUGUUAUGCUGUCCUCCUGUUCCUCUACUCAAGAAAGACUAUGACCCAAUCCAAAUAGCAAAACAGGGCUGAUCACAGCUUUGGAGGUGCUCAGUUUUAUUUUAUUUUUACAACUAUCUCUUGUAUAAUUAUUUUAUUCAAUUUUGUCUGUUUUGUCAGUUUUGUUUGGAUUCAGCCAAAUCCAGACUCGGAGCCAAAGAAAACCAAGCCUGACCUUGUAGUGGUCCUAUUUUCCCAGAUGGGCUUCUGCCAUAGCACAGGAGAGAUCCAAGUGAGACUGAUGUGUCUGACAGGAAAACUGGACAAGGGCUGCUCUCUCCGAUCUCACCUGCAGAAAAAUGCCUGGGUCAGUCCAAUGGCCCCACAUUCACUCUGCCAAUGCAAUCAAAGGCAAGCAGGCAGCUAUAUGUCCGGCAGCAUUAGUUCCUUCUCUACACGGUCCUAUCGUGAAGCUCUUAUCACACCCAAACGAAGGCUAUGUUCCACCCAACGGAUCCUUAGUGAGGCAUAGAAAUGCAGCCCCCUCCACCUUUUCACAACAUGAAAGCAUUUUUUUUUAACUUAUCAGAAAUCUUGUAAGCCUACCAGAAUCAACAGUUUACCUCGAGCCUAAAAGAAAAACUGGAUGAGCAUAUUUGGGGAAAUGGCCUAGGAGUCAACAGUGAUGAUUGUAUUAUGCCAGGAGAGGCACCUGUAUUAGGUUGUUUAAUCCUCACAACGACUUUCCACAGUGGGUCUUUAUAUUUGCACUUGAAAUGUAAAGAAAUAGAGGAAAAAAUAAGAAAUCGCUCAUUUACGGGCUCAGCUGAUUCUUCUGCAGAAUCUUGCGAACUUUAAGUUUGACUUUAAAGCAGUUCUUCCAAAAGAUUAAGUGAAAAGGAUAGAGGAGUCUGUCUCAAAUGUUAACCCAUCCUGAAAGUUGAGUCCUGGCCACUGGACCAACUGGCUCCCUUCAGUUUCCACCCUGGGAAAAAAACCCAUCUCAUGCUGAUGGCCUUCUUUGGGAAUAGGAUGUUUCCCAUAAGAGAAAAUUCUUUCCAAAACUUAGUGCAUAUUUUAGGAGAGUUGAGUGGAUUCCCAGCCAUCUUUUGCACGAGAAGUCUGAUACCCCCAAAUCAAGCAAGUUUCAACAGCCCGACUGGUCAUUAAAGAUUAAAAAAAAACAAACAACAGACAGGGGAAGCUAUGUUGCUUCAAAACACUUGUGAACACAUGAAUUUUUCAGCAGAAAUUUCCUAAUCCCUAUGGUGUAUUUCUCUCAUCUCCGUUGGAGUUUUCCUAUCAACUCUCAGGUUUCCUCGGGUCUUUAUUUGCUGACUCUGAAGGUUGGACCACAUGCAGCUGGUUUUUAUUUCUUGAAACAUUCAUUCAAUUUAGAUUAGCAUACUGGCUUCUUAACUUUUUUCU
RNAcentral lists this long non-coding RNA (2230 nucleotides) under Sus scrofa (pig). RNAcentral's name for it is "lncRNA (ENSSSCG00030022584.1)". Lineage: Eukaryota; Metazoa; Chordata; Mammalia; Artiodactyla; Suidae. The record is from RNAcentral.